GUGCGAAACUGAUCCCGGUCGCAGCUGCGAUCCCUGGGUCCUCUAUAUGUACGCCAGUGACCUGAACUAUAAAUGUAUAGCCAAGCUCUGAAAAUCUAUAGUCUAGAGGAAUAAUAGUAUAGCAAACAUUAUGGAAUAGCUGACUGGAUCCAUUCACAUAACCUAUGAUCACAUAAUGUCCACAUUUAUGGCUCCCCAUGGUUCAUUGCAGAAGUAAAUAUUUGAAAG
Molecule: non-coding RNA, 228 nt
Organism: Pelobates cultripes (western spadefoot toad)
Lineage: Eukaryota; Metazoa; Chordata; Amphibia; Anura; Pelobatidae
Source: the annotation of a GenBank genome assembly